RNAcentral lists this ribosomal RNA (460 nucleotides) under uncultured bacterium. RNAcentral's name for it is "bacterial SSU rRNA". It matches the Rfam family "Bacterial small subunit ribosomal RNA", at positions 338 to 795 of the family's 1533-position model. The record is from RNAcentral.
CCUACGGGAGGCAGCAGUAAGGAAUAUUGGUCAAUGGACGCAAGUCUGAACCAGCCAUGCCGCGUGAAGGAUGAAGGUCCUCUGGAUUGUAAACUUCUUUUAUAUGGGACGAAAAAGGGGCUUUCUAGCUCAACUGACGGUACCAUUUGAAUAAGCACCGGCUAACUCCGUGCCAGCAGCCGCGGUAAUACGGAGGGUGCAAGCGUUAUCCGGAUUCACUGGGUUUAAAGGGUGCGUAGGUGGGUUGGUAAGUCAGUGGUGAAAUCCCCGAGCUUAACUCGGGAACUGCCAUUGAUACUAUCAGUCUUGAAUACCGUGGAGGUCAGCAGAAUAUGUCAUGUAGCGGUGAAAUGCUUAGAUAUGACAUAGAAUACCAAUUGCGAAGGCAGCUGGCUACCCGAAUAUUGACACUGAGGCACGAAAGCGUGGGGAUCAAACAGGAUUAGAUACCCUAGUAGUC